Molecule: unclassified non-coding RNA, 345 nt
Filed under: soil metagenome
Description: partial contains 5.8S ribosomal RNA, internal transcribed spacer 2, and large subunit ribosomal RNA
Rfam family: 5.8S ribosomal RNA (bases 1-120)
Source: RNAcentral
GAUGAAGAACGUAGCGAAAUGCGAUAAGUAGUGUGAAUUGCAGAAUUCCGUGAAUCAUCGAAUCUUUGAACGCACAUUGCGCCCCCUGGCAUUCCUAGGGGCAUGCCUGUUCGAGCGUCAUUAACAACCAUCAAGCCCCCGGGCUUGGUGUUGGGGAUCGGCGUGCCCUCGCGGCGCGCCGUCCCCUAAAUCUAGUGGCGGUCUCGCUGUAGCUUCCUCUGCGUAGUAGCAACACUCGCACUGGAUCGCAGCGCGGCCACGCCGUUAAACCCCCCACUUCUGAAAGUUUGACCUCGGAUCAGGUAGGAAUACCCGCUGAACUUAAGCAUAUCAAUAAGCGGAGGA